CAGGUGAUUCAUAACCUCAGUCCUUCCAGAGAAAUACAGAAUCCUAGAGGCUAAAAGGUUUCUCUCCUUUAGUUCAACACAGAGUGACAAGUACCCGUCAACCCAGAUGCACUGUGGGAUUACAAAACCUACACAUGCCCCUGUUGACAUGUGUCAAUCAAGGUUAAUGUUGGUUUGAGGAGUGCCACCUUUCUUCUGCUAUCUCAUACAAUUUUGUACAAAAGGAAGUUUUGCUACCCUGUAGAACUAAGGACCGUCACAAACCUAUCUACCUUCUCACUACAAGUGCAAGUCCACUUCUUUGCCCUGCAUCCGCUAACAUAAAUACAUAGCAACAGGAGGUUUCUGUAACUGAAGCAGAGCUGUGGAAAUCUACAGUCAAGUGCUUGAAGUAUAACUCAAACAAACACGAUUAGUGAUAUGAAAUGCACAAUUUAUGUUACAAAUGUGAUCCACUGAGCCAGCAGAGAAACAUUAAUUACUGCUAUAAUACAGGAGGUGGAGGCGGAGAGAUAAUAUUAGCUUUU
Molecule: long non-coding RNA, 527 nt
Organism: Mauremys mutica (yellowpond turtle)
Lineage: Eukaryota; Metazoa; Chordata; Testudines; Geoemydidae
Exons: 4
Source: RefSeq, a predicted model, not a curated record